This 71-nucleotide transfer RNA is filed under the name Marmota monax (woodchuck). Its description in RNAcentral is "tRNA.Ala". It matches the Rfam family "tRNA". From Rfam's summary of the family: Transfer RNA (tRNA) molecules are approximately 80 nucleotides in length. Their secondary structure includes four short double-helical elements and three loops (D, anti-codon, and T loops). The record is from RNAcentral. Lineage: Eukaryota; Metazoa; Chordata; Mammalia; Rodentia; Sciuridae.
GGGGUUGUGGCUCAGGGGCAGAGCGCUCACAUAGCAAGUGUGAGGCCCUGAGUUUGAUCCUCAGCACCACA